GUGGGGAAUAUUGGACAAUGGGCGAAAGCCUGAUCCAGCCAUGCCGCGUGUGUGAUGAAGGUCUUCGGAUUGUAAAGCACUUUAAGUUGGGAGGAAGGGCAGUAAGUUAAUACCUUGCUGUUUUGACGUUACCGACAGAAUAAGCACCGGCUAACUUCGUGCCAGCAGCCGCGGUAAUACGAAGGGUGCAAGCGUUAAUCGGAAUUACUGGGCGUAAAGCGCGCGUAGGUGGUUUUGUAAGUUGGAGGUGAAAUCCCCGGGCUCAACCUGGGAACUGCCUCCAAAACUGCAUGACUAGAGUACGGUAGAGGGUAGUGGAAUUUCCUGUGUAGCGGUGAAAUGCGUAGAUAUAGGAAGGAACACCAGUGGCGAAGGCGACUACCUGGACUGAUACUGACACUGAGGUGCGAAAGCGUGGGGAGCAAACAGGAUUAGAAACCCGAGUAGUCC
Molecule: ribosomal RNA, 450 nt
Filed under: uncultured bacterium
Lineage: Bacteria
Description: bacterial SSU rRNA
Rfam family: Bacterial small subunit ribosomal RNA
Source: RNAcentral